GAAAAGGCAUACGAGGUGGAGAAUAGGUGGGAAAACAAUCACCAGUGAAAUACCACUACUCUUAUGACUUUUUU
RNAcentral lists this ribosomal RNA (74 nucleotides) under Clytia hemisphaerica. Its description in RNAcentral is "eukaryotic large subunit ribosomal RNA". The record is from RNAcentral. Lineage: Eukaryota; Metazoa; Cnidaria; Hydrozoa; Leptothecata; Clytiidae.